RNAcentral lists this ribosomal RNA (274 nucleotides) under uncultured bacterium. RNAcentral's name for it is "partial 16S ribosomal RNA". It matches the Rfam family "Bacterial small subunit ribosomal RNA", at positions 523 to 796 of the family's 1533-position model. The record is from RNAcentral.
AUACGAAGGGGGCAAGCGUUGUUCGGAAUAACUGGGCGUAAAGCGCACGUAGGCGGAAUGUUAAGUUAGAGGUGAAAUCCCAGGGCUCAACCCUGGAACUGCCUUUAAUACUGGCGAUCUAGAGACCGAGAGAGGUGAGUGGAAUUCCGAGUGUAGAGGUGAAAUUCGUAGAUAUUCGGAGGAACACCAGUGGCGAAGGCGGCUCACUGGCUCGGUACUGACGCUGAGGUGCGAAAGCGUGGGGAGCAAACAGGAUUAGAAACCCUAGUAGUCC